AAGAGGCACCCUAGUCUAGUUUCGAUGUGGUUAACUGCGAUAACAGCAACAUCUGGGGUUUCCAUUCAGCAAUAGUUCUAAACCGCAAAUUGCCUGCUUCUUCUAGGCUUUCAUUUCGUUUCAUUUUUUUCCUGCGCUGUUAGAUAAGAUUCAGAUUUCGGAUUCAACAUCCUCUCCCCUUGCAAGCAUGCGCAACAGUUUUGGAUUGUCUCUUAUCGUGUUUUCCGAGCUCAGCCGAAUCGAAUUAUUUUUGUGUGUAGAGCGCGGAUCGUUUAACGACCAAUCAGAGGAGAACACGUCGCUUUUCAAAUCCCCUCUGUCAGCUCGUGGCUUGAGUUGCUUGUGCGAACAUUCAGUGCGUAGUCAGAGGUAAAUAAGUGAACAAGUAAAUCCAAUCCACGCCAUGUCGCAGUAGAACACCGUGUGUAUGCUUUGAGAUUGAAGAAUUCUUAAUCAACUGUGGGAUGUGAUGAAACUCUCAACAUCUGGUAAUGUUGCGUAAGUGAGGCCUGUUUUGGUGUGAGUCAGCGACGAAAAGAGUGUAAUAGAAGAAAAUCAUACGCGCCACAUAAUUUGUUAGAAAAUGAAUCCACCGAAAAGUGCUAAGAUUCGCUUGCAGAAUCUUCACGUCGACUACGGAUAACGCGUCCCCUUGGCUUUAGAUAUCGCAACAUCUGGCAAUCAUCGGAGACAGCUGAAUUGGUGACAACACGCGCAAGCCACAUCAUCAAUGUGAAAAGAACAUGGAAGCUGUAACUCCAGAAGGAAACGCUCAACGGAAGACAGUGCAAGUAUUGGUUUCUCGCUAGGGGAAAGACAGAUAUAGCGAGAGUUAUUCUGUUUCCAGAGUGUUGCUCAGAAUUUCUCUGGAUCGCACUGUUUUUCUCUCGAAGUGUUGUUUGAUGCUAUGGAAAAAAUGAGCAGUGUUGCCCGAUUUCUCGCUAUUAGAGACGUUUCUGAAGGGAACUUCACACCAGUGUCUUGCCCCUAGGUUCGUCGCAGAAAGAUCGAGCCGUUACGCUAGGCCUGUAGUUUUUGAACGGUAAUUGCCGUUCCUCGGAUUGCGCAGAAAAAGGUUUUUGAGGCAUAGUGGAGCGCCUUACAUCAGCUAACACUUCCACAGGGUGAUUCAACAUAUUUGCAGUUUUUGAAAGGGUCCUGAUUCACUAAACGAAGAAAUUGUAAACGCUACGCUGGGGAAAAAGUUCGAAACAACUACGAUUUGAUAAGUUUACCGCCGUCGUCUUCGCACUGUAACGUGUAAAGCGUGAUAAGAAUUCUGCAAGAGAUUACUCUCCAAUACACAUCAGAAACGUUUUAAUUGGCCGUAAGCUAGCAUCGAACAAUGGAAUACCACAAGCAACAGUGCUAGGCUAGUAUGUAUUGGACAAUCCUAACGCACAUCAGGAAGGCAACCAACUGUGACGUGCCACUUCAGUUUUAGUACAUACAAACAGACGUAACUCUUAGAGGAAAUUCAUCAAAAACAUUUUCCCGCACACUGCCACCUGUUGGUAGUUCCGCGCUAGACGCUGACGGCCAUGAUACAUUUCGAUUUGACGUUUGUCUAACACGCACACUACUACACAAAUCGCCCGUAGUCGUUGUUUGCAUCAUUCAGCAACGUGUACACUGACAAACGUCAAAGCGAUCGAACGCUAGCGCCUCUGGUGGAAGGAACGCGGAAAUCAAAUAAAAUUCGAAUUGAUCGUUAAAUGUAUGUGCCGAGCCAUUUUGAAGAGUGUUACUUCUGUUUGUCUGUGGUUUUAGUCUUAGUUCUUAGAAUAAGUUUUGACGGUGGUGGUCAUAACAAUUCUUUAUCGGCAAAAUCGAUCCCUAGUUCUCAAUUCAGCCUAGUGGUUACGCAUUGGAUCGCCAACUCGGAGACGUCGGUUUCAAAUUUUGAGCUAGUCGGGAAUCGUUUCCAGCACAUAAGCACAGAGACUUAAGGCUGGACCACAAUAGCGCGCCGAGGAGCGUCGCGCCACGUCGCGUUUAGCGCUUCAAU
Aedes albopictus (Asian tiger mosquito) is the source of this 2008-nucleotide long non-coding RNA. RefSeq lists it as uncharacterized. Lineage: Eukaryota; Metazoa; Arthropoda; Insecta; Diptera; Culicidae. The transcript has 2 exons. The record is from RefSeq and is a predicted model, not a curated record.